ACAAGUUAAACCCAAGUUCUUUCAAACCCACUUGAGCUGCGCGUCAUCAAAGAAGUCAUGGUUAAAGUUUGAACAGUUGAAAACAAAAUUAAUGCUUAUUGAGAAGAAGGUUGAACACUUACUGUGUUUCCACUCGAUUGCAUUGAAAGAACGACUAAAACCUUUCUCCAAUGUGGUCAAUGGGUUUCUGUAAAAUUGUUGUUGAGAAAGGAUAUUCAUGUUUAGAAGAUUGAGACUGAUCAAGAUGAGAAGAUGAAUGAGACCAAUUCUUCUGCAAAUGUACUUAUAAGGGCAAAGAAAUCUGGUGUUGAAGCUCGACAACUCCACAGGGGAAGCCAGACAAUGCCACAUGAUGACCCAUGAAAAGAUAUAUGAUUAUGGAGACCAUGAUCAAGCAAGAGUCUGUUUGAUCUGGUGGGAAUUCCAAUAAAAUGCUCAACGGGCUGCAGAUU
Molecule: long non-coding RNA, 452 nt
Organism: Impatiens glandulifera
Lineage: Eukaryota; Viridiplantae; Streptophyta; Magnoliopsida; Ericales; Balsaminaceae
Exons: 3
Source: RefSeq, a predicted model, not a curated record